UACGUAGGGUGCUAGCGUUGCUCGGAAUCACUGGGCGUAAAGGGUGCGUAGGCGGGUCUUUAAGUCAGGGGUGAAAUCCUGGAGCUCAACUCCAGAACUGCCUUUGAUACUGAGGAUCUUGAGUUCGGGAGAGGUGAGUGGAACUGCGAGUGUAGAGGUGAAAUUCGUAGAUAUUGGGAAGAACACCGGUGGCGAAGGCGGCUCUCUGGACCGUAACUGACGCUGAGGCGCGAAAGCGUGGGGAGCAAACGGG
Molecule: ribosomal RNA, 253 nt
Filed under: uncultured bacterium
Lineage: Bacteria
Description: partial 16S ribosomal RNA
Rfam family: Bacterial small subunit ribosomal RNA
Source: RNAcentral